This 1416-nucleotide ribosomal RNA is filed under the name Klebsiella pneumoniae. RNAcentral describes it as "bacterial SSU rRNA". It matches the Rfam family "Bacterial small subunit ribosomal RNA". Lineage: Bacteria; Pseudomonadati; Pseudomonadota; Gammaproteobacteria; Enterobacterales; Enterobacteriaceae. The record is from RNAcentral.
ACACAUGCAAGUCGAGCGGUAGCACAGAGAGCUUGCUCUCGGGUGACGAGCGGCGGACGGGUGAGUAAUGUCUGGGAAACUGCCUGAUGGAGGGGGAUAACUACUGGAAACGGUAGCUAAUACCGCAUAACGUCGCAAGACCAAAGUGGGGGACCUUCGGGCCUCAUGCCAUCAGAUGUGCCCAGAUGGGAUUAGCUAGUAGGUGGGGUAACGGCUCACCUAGGCGACGAUCCCUAGCUGGUCUGAGAGGAUGACCAGCCACACUGGAACUGAGACACGGUCCAGACUCCUACGGGAGGCAGCAGUGGGGAAUAUUGCACAAUGGGCGCAAGCCUGAUGCAGCCAUGCCGCGUGUGUGAAGAAGGCCUUCGGGUUGUAAAGCACUUUCAGCGGGGAGGAAGGCGAUAAGGUUAAUAACCUUGUCGAUUGACGUUACCCGCAGAAGAAGCACCGGCUAACUCCGUGCCAGCAGCCGCGGUAAUACGGAGGGUGCAAGCGUUAAUCGGAAUUACUGGGCGUAAAGCGCACGCAGGCGGUCUGUCAAGUCGGAUGUGAAAUCCCCGGGCUCAACCUGGGAACUGCAUUCGAAACUGGCAGGCUAGAGUCUUGUAGAGGGGGGUAGAAUUCCAGGUGUAGCGGUGAAAUGCGUAGAGAUCUGGAGGAAUACCGGUGGCGAAGGCGGCCCCCUGGACAAAGACUGACGCUCAGGUGCGAAAGCGUGGGGAGCAAACAGGAUUAGAUACCCUGGUAGUCCACGCCGUAAACGAUGUCGAUUUGGAGGUUGUGCCCUUGAGGCGUGGCUUCCGGAGCUAACGCGUUAAAUCGACCGCCUGGGGAGUACGGCCGCAAGGUUAAAACUCAAAUGAAUUGACGGGGGCCCGCACAAGCGGUGGAGCAUGUGGUUUAAUUCGAUGCAACGCGAAGAACCUUACCUGGUCUUGACAUCCACAGAACUUACCAGAGAUGCUUUGGUGCCUUCGGGAACUGUGAGACAGGUGCUGCAUGGCUGUCGUCAGCUCGUGUUGUGAAAUGUUGGGUUAAGUCCCGCAACGAGCGCAACCCUUAUCCUUUGUUGCCAGCGGUUAGGCCGGGAACUCAAAGGAGACUGCCAGUGAUAAACUGGAGGAAGGUGGGGAUGACGUCAAGUCAUCAUGGCCCUUACGACCAGGGCUACACACGUGCUACAAUGGCAUAUACAAAGAGAAGCGACCUCGCGAGAGCAAGCGGACCUCAUAAAGUAUGUCGUAGUCCGGAUUGGAGUCUGCAACUCGACUCCAUGAAGUCGGAAUCGCUAGUAAUCGUAGAUCAGAAUGCUACGGUGAAUACGUUCCCGGGCCUUGUACACACCGCCCGUCACACCAUGGGAGUGGGUUGCAAAAGAAGUAGGUAGCUUAACCUUCGGGAGGGCGCUACCAC